RNAcentral lists this unclassified non-coding RNA (253 nucleotides) under uncultured Cytophagales bacterium. Its description in RNAcentral is "contains 16S-23S intergenic spacer region". It matches the Rfam family "Bacterial small subunit ribosomal RNA", at positions 524 to 776 of the family's 1533-position model. Lineage: Bacteria; Pseudomonadati; Bacteroidota; Sphingobacteriia; Sphingobacteriales. The record is from RNAcentral.
UACGGAGGGUGCAAGCGUUGUCCGGAUUUAUUGGGUUUAAAGGGUGCGUAGGCGGUUUUAUAAGUCAGUGGUGAAAGACGGCAGCUUAACUGUCGCAGUGCCAUUGAUACUGUAGAACUUGAGUAUAGUUGAGGUAGGCGGAAUUUAUGGUGUAGCGGUGAAAUGCAUAGAUACCAUAAGGAACCCCGAUAGCGUAGGCAGCUUACUAAACUAUAACUGACGCUGAGGCACGAAAGCAUGGGUAGCGAACAGG